This 19-nucleotide small nuclear RNA is filed under the name Arabidopsis thaliana (thale cress). RNAcentral describes it as "snRNA_09819". Lineage: Eukaryota; Viridiplantae; Streptophyta; Magnoliopsida; Brassicales; Brassicaceae. The record is from RNAcentral.
CUGAUUGUGGUCAGAUUUC